CCCGCCGCCGCCCCGCGUCCCCGCCGCCUCCCGCGCCGUGCCUCGGGGACGCCGGGCGCUCAGGGGAAGGCGGCGCGGGGCUUCGUCCGUCCCCGGUCGGCACCGAGCCGUCCUCCGCAGUCGCCGUUCGGACGGGAGCCGGCUGGGAACGCGGUCGUGUCUUUGUUUGCCGCUCUGUGCGUUCGUGGAUUAAACGUUUCCCGUUCGUUUCUCGGCGCUUCUGCCCGCGGUCGUUUCUGCAGCUCCGAAAUCCGUAAAAGAAAAGACUGAGGUUGAAGAAGCUCCACCUGGGGAAGUCAAGGUGGAGGAAACCCCUGCUGCUGCUGCUGUGGGAAAGGAGGCCAUCCCUGCUGAGCCAGAUGAGCCAACAGAGCAGGCUGCGGUGAGUGAUCUGUCCCCCAUGUCCAUCUCCUGUUUCUGUACCAGCUUGCCAUUGCCAUCAGACACAUGGCUUUUAUGAGGCAAUAGAGAUAUUUGUUUACCUCUCCUGUUAAAAAACAAAAAAGAGCAACAUGCUGUAGCAAGCAUGCAUGCUUUGCUGCAGUAAGAAAUAAUUAUAUUUUGGAGCUUGUUGAAGCUCGUGGGAUUUUUUUCUGUUUGAGACCCUCUGCAGUCUGUUUUAAAAUUAAUGUAAAAAUCAGGUCUUUGCAGCAUGGUUUGGCAGCUUGAAAGAAGAAUUAAUCCUGUAUGUAUAAAAGAAAAGGUGAUGUCACACUGCAGUUCUAGCAGGAUAAAGCUGUGAGGGGUUUGCAUGGUAACACUGCUGUCAGCAGCUGCCUUGCCCUGGCAUCUGGACAGGUCUGGGUCUUAUGAGGUGACUGCAGGAAGAUGAGCUUAGAAAACACACGAGUGAAGUGAAGUUUGGAUAUAACGCAGCAUCCUUUUAUUAAACAAGAUAACAUGCAAGCAUUUCAGAUGAAACGUGCAGGAGUUUUGGUGUGGCAGGUGUGUGGAGGCAGUGAGCUGGAGGCUGAGCACUGAGGUCUGAUCACAAGUGCUGAAGAUGGCGAUCUGCUCUACCUGCACUCACACAGAUCUGCAUGGCUUGUCUUCACCCUUACAGGGCUUUUGGAAAAUCUGACAUAUGUAUGUUUGCAGAGCAGCCUCAACGUUUAUUAGUGAAAGAGAUUUCUAUAAGGGGGCUUAGAUUUACUUUUCCUCUGAAAAGCAUCUUUAGAAAUAUCCUGCAAUCUGCAGGAAGCCAAGACUGAGCAGAAGAGAAAAGCACUUCCAAGUCUUCCAAAUGAGACAUGAACUACAGCCAUCUUGACUGUUUGUUGACCUAAACUGGACCUGAACCUCUUGAUCCAGGCUGAGCAAUAGCCAGAACUGAAUCCAAGCUCAAGCAGAAGGGAUGUUGCUGUCUGAAUCCCAGAAUGCUACAGUAGAAUUGGAAACCAGCAGGAGCACAACUGUCCCACAGCGUUUAGGAAAUUGUACGUUUUUUCCUCUUGCAAACCUGGAACUCGUGCAGGUUUACAGCUUCUGUAGGAAAGGACCUUGUGAUAGAUCCCAUCUGUGCUGUAAGAAGUAUUGUUUGGGGUGGAGAGCAUCACUGUUCAGAGCAAUUGAUCCCUUGGGCAUCUUCAUGGGUGCCAGAUUUAGAGCCACCGACACAUGUCUGCUGUUUCAAAUGUCAGGCACCCACUGCAUGUACAGCUGAGUGUGGGCCUGGAGGAAAGUGAUUCUGCACCAACUGAUGAGCUUUGUGACCCACCUCUUUGAACAAUCCCCUGCUGUGUGUUUCAGCCCAACGUGUGUGGAAGAAGUGUUCCAGGAAGUUUUCCUGCAAACUGGAGAGUAUCGAGGCAGAGAUAAGGAGACAACUGGAAUUGCUGAGGAAGAGAGCGAGGUGGUGAGUGCUGCAGAUGGGGCGGUGGAGUGGAAGACAGCGUGGUGGUGGCAGCAGGAGCUGGUGAGGGUGCUGCUCCCACGGGACAGGAGGCUGCUGCUGGAGGUGACAAACCUCAGGGAGAAGAAAAGGAGAUUGAUGUUUCCCAGGUACCUCAUGUUGUUGUGUGGGGAGCAUUAGAGGAAUCCAGCCAGAUCCAGCAGCUCCAGCACAGGCCAGACUGAUGCAGCUCCAUGCCCCAGGGUCCAGCAAGCAGUGAGGAUGAGCAUGUAUUCUCAGUGCACACACAGAGCACACAGACAUAUUUGUACACACAGACAGCCAUGGGAAUCAAAGACAGGCACACGGGGUACUCACACAAACACAAGCAUUACCAGAGGCCUCGUCACGUUCACCUCUGGCUGAGCAGGUAGAGCUCUACUAGUGAGAAGACAUGUAUUCGUAUGUACGUGCUGACGUCACUCAAGUCCACUCACCUGAGUGUCUCCAGUGGCUGGCACCUGGAUCUCUCCUGCAGCUGGCAGAUGGGCACACAGGCCCUCCAAUCCACGGUCUGAGCCUAGUGCACACAUGGGCAAGAACAACAGACAGCCCUCACCCUGGAGAGGAGUUAGCAAGCAACUUGAUGAGAAGAUAGGACAGACCACACUCAUCAGGUGCAGGACAUGGCCAGGAAAAGGUCAGCAGCAUCCCUUCAGUAGUAAUGGAGCCAGCAUCGAACAACGAAGGGGCAGGAGAAGAACACGGUGUGAUCAUGAACGAGUCCAAAGAUGCUGCAGCAGAGAUGGGCACUCAGGGCAGUGACAGUGAAACUUGCCAAGUUGGAAGUGAGCAGGAACCAACUGAAGAAGUGCAGACUGCACCUUCUCAAGAUCAGCCUGCGUCAGCAGGAGGCACAGCUUCUGACAUGGCACAGGGCUUUCUCUUGAAGGUUGAAGUUCUGCAUGAUUUUGAGGCAGCUAAUGGUGACCAGCUUAAUUUAAAUGGAGGGGAUAUUGCACUAGUAAUUCCUUCUGAGACCACAGCUGAUCAGGUAACAACAACGUGAUUAGUUAUUUCUUUUGCUAAUGUUUCCCUUUGUCUCAGUUUCCUUCUCACUCUUUAUAGUUAAUUUGAAAUGUUGGUUCAGAACGUCUCUACUGUUAGAAAACACCAGCAUUCUUAUUUUGCCCUUUUGCUUGGUUUGAUUUGUGACCAAGCAGCACAGCUAACUAAGCUGAAGUCCCAGGUAUGUACUGCCAGCAGGGUCCAACUUCAGUGCAUUUGUCUAGGGCACUUUUAUGUUGCUUUGUAGUGAAUUUUAUACAGGCUUACAUACAGACACAGGCUGAAUACAGAAGAUGGCUUACAAAUGGUGCAUCCUGCUGUCAUGUUGUUGUAACACUGGGUCAGAACUGACUGUGUUUCCCCACACGUUCAGAGUUUUACAUGGAGAUCUGGGGAAAUAUGCAUUUGCCCAGAGAGAGCACUGAGACUGCACACCAACAGUUCUGUCCUGCAGCCCAAUGGCACAGAGGUGUUCCUGCAUGUCCUGUGUGCCUCUUGGGACCUGAGCCUCACAGCUGUGCUCUUGAGCUGCACCAGCAAUCGCUUUGUCUUUGGUGCAAGAACCCAACAGUUCAGUGUCAUUUAAGAUGCUUUAUUUUGUCUUAACAGCGUGUUUCAGGUUAAUUUUUAAACAAUUUAAUUCCACGUUAUGUUGAUUUGCAGUCAAGUGAAUGAAUUUUUUACCUCCUCUUUAAGAGCAGCCCAUCUUGUACAAUUCGUACGAGCCACUUUGUGGCUGCAGUGGCAGAAAGCGUUGAUGAAAAGCAUUCCAUUGAACUGGGGGCUGGGAGGUUGGGCUCUGGACCUGCACAGUGAGACAGCCAGGUCUCUGCUCCGAAUGAAGAGCAGUUCUUCAAACAUGCCCAAAUGCUGUCAGCGCGUUUGGAGAGCCAGAGACUGUUUGUUAUCUAAGCUGAACUCUCUCUUAAUACAAGAGACAAGUAAUUGCUUUGGUUUCUGAUUCUUUUUUAUUGUUGUUUCUGAAUAAAAGAUUAUUUUAUUUUCCUUUUCACUGGGACGCUUUGUUAUUUUGUAGGGACAGAUCCUCUUAUGCUUACUCAAACUGUGCUGCCUCACCUGUUGGGCUGUUCAGCUGAGUUCAUUGUCAGUAUUUGCAGAACCUACUCUAAGGAUAUAAAAAGACGCUGUCUUCAGUUAUUUUUUCUUAUCAUGUUUUGUAUUAAUCUAUAUAACCUUUCCUUGGUGAAUCCAUUGAUUGUUUUUCUCUUGUGGUGUGCAUCCAAAUCCCAUUAGCGUUCAUUGGAGUGAAUUGUGUGCAGUGAUGGAGAAAAUGAAGCCCCAUGUAUUCGUGUUGCUGAGAUCGUUCUGCUCAUAUCUUUAUUACUCACUGCAUAUUUGCCCUUGGUGUUUCACAUCACCAUAGAACUCAAUUUUUCUCUUACCAGAUAAUGUGUUGAUUUACAGAGAGUAUUUGAUCUUGGUUCUUUUUCCUCCUGCAAAAUUGAUCUAAACCCAUCAUUCUGAGAUAGCUGGUGCUGUCAGCCUGUGCUCCCUGUGCAAAGCCAACUCAUCCCAGCCAGUGACUCCAACUUUUAUCCGUAAUUAUUGAGUUGCAGUCAUCAUCCAUUACAACUUCAGUCCUGAGCAGAAUCUACUCUGUCCCUGGUAGAAAACUUCAGUUCCCCCACCUCAGGUUUUCCAAAAGGUGACUUCAAAAACGUGCUGCCAGUUACUCCAUCUCUCUCUGUACUGUCUGUAGAAUGAUAAUGAAUCAGCAUUAGAAAUUCCCUGCUAAUCAUCACUUUACUCUGACUCCUGUUCUUCAAAGGAACAAAGCACAGAGUUAGCCAUGUGGUGAGAUGAAAACAGGCUGAUCACUGCAAGAAUACUGCCUGGAUUUUGUUCCAGGUGAAAUGGAUAGCACUUAGGAGAACCCAGCACUUUCCAACAAGAAAUCUUCCUUUUUCCGCUUCUCUCCUCACACAUCGCCCACCAUUUUUUCCUUUUCCUCCCUCUUACACUCCUCUCUUAUGCUUUCCUUAUUUCACUUGCACUUCUGCUCUCACGUGUUCCUUCUUUCUUUUGCACUUUGCUCUCCCAGAGCCUCGCUUUCCCCUUUGCUGUUUCUCAGCAGUAUUUCUUGCUUGCUCCCUUUCUCACCUACUUGCACUUUCCCUCCCAUGUCUUUGGCAGUGUACCUUUGCUGUUUCUCUCUCUCUACUGCUCCCUCCACCACAUGACCCUUUCUCUCUCUUCUCUGCUCCUUCCAUUCCUUCUCUUGCUCCCCAUCCCUUCUUCUCUCUUCCUCUCGCAUGCUGUUUCCCUCUUGGCUCUUGUUUUCUCUCUCUCUGAAAUACUUACCCUGUGUUAAUCUCCUUCUUAGACUCUUUUCCUCUCUGACUUGUGCUCUCUUGAAGAGCUUACCCUCUCGCCUGUGUUUUCUGACAUGCCUUCCACGUGUCACUUAUGUGUUUAUCUCUUGCUUUUUCCUGUCACACUCUGUUUUUCCCAUGUUCUGUUCUUCUAUCUUUUAUUCCUUCUAUCUUCUAUUCUUUUUUUCCUCUUGCUUUCCAGUCUUGCAUUCUCUCUCUUUUGCGUUUUUCUUUUCUUGCUUGCAUUUCCUCACCUACUUGUGUUAUCUUCUAUUGCAUGUUUCUGCCCUUGUCCGUGUGCUCCUACUCUGGUAUGCUUUCCCUGCUGCAAGUGCUUUUCCUCUCUUUGCUUUCCUCCUCUCCGUUGGGUGCUCACACUCUCGCAUGUGUUCCCAGAGUCAUCACAGAGCAGGUUGGGUUGGAAAAGACCUCAAGGAUCAUCAAGUCUUCUCUCUCAUGGUCUCUCACUUCCCUCAGCUCUUCCAUGCUUUCCUCUUGCUUGUAAAAUCUUCCCCUCUUGCACGGAGGCUUUCCCUCUUGCUUGCCCUUUCCCUCGUGUUUCCUCCUUUCUCAUUGAGUUCUUCCCAGGCUCUUGCAAUUUCUCCCUUGCUUUGCUUCUCUUUUGCAGACGUACUUUUUGUAAGUACAGGUAGCGACAGGACGAGAGGAAAUGGCUUUAAACUGGAAGAGGAUAGAUUUAGACUGGAUAGUGGGGUGAAAUUCUUUGCUGUGAAGGUGGUGAGACGCUGGAAGUGGUCACCCCUCCCUGAAAGUAUUCAAGGCCAGGCAUGAUGGGUCUUUGAGCGACCUGCUCUAGUGGGAAAUGCCCCUGUCUGUGGCAGGGGGGUUGGAACUAGAUGAUCUAAAAGGCCACUUGCACCCCAGGCUGUUCUAUGAUUCUGUCUAUAUCUGAUUUCCCUCUGUCUUUGUGGUCUUUGCUACUGCAGCAUCUCUGAUGCCUGUUUCUUCUGUUCAGUGGUCACAGUCACGGGUUGAUCAUUGCACUAGGUGAUCUCAGUGGUCUUUCCAAGCCUUAUGAUUCUGUGCUUGUCUCACUUGGUAAAGGUGGUCACCUAGCAAGUAAGGUGAAGAAAAUGUGGUGACAUUUAAUGCUUUUUUUUUUUU
Molecule: long non-coding RNA, 6357 nt
Organism: Lagopus muta (rock ptarmigan)
Lineage: Eukaryota; Metazoa; Chordata; Aves; Galliformes; Phasianidae
Exons: 6
Source: RefSeq, a predicted model, not a curated record